UACGUAGGGUGCGAGCAUUGUCCGGAGUUAUUGGGCGUAAAGAGCUUGUAGGCGGUUUGUCGCGUCUGCUGUGAAAAUCCGGGGCUCAACCCCGGACUUGCAGUGGGUACGGGCAGACUAGAGUGUGGUAGGGGAGACUGGAAUUCCUGGUGUAGCGGUGAAAUGCGCAGAUAUCAGGAGGAACACCGAUGGCGAAGGCAGGUCUCUGGGCCACUACUGACGCUGAGAAGCGAAAGCAUGGGGAGCGAACAGGAUUAGA
Molecule: ribosomal RNA, 259 nt
Filed under: uncultured prokaryote
Description: partial 16S ribosomal RNA
Rfam family: Bacterial small subunit ribosomal RNA
Source: RNAcentral